RNAcentral lists this ribosomal RNA (429 nucleotides) under Chloroflexota bacterium. Its description in RNAcentral is "Chloroflexi bacterium partial 16S ribosomal RNA". It matches the Rfam family "Bacterial small subunit ribosomal RNA", at positions 355 to 776 of the family's 1533-position model. Lineage: Bacteria; Bacillati; Chloroflexota. The record is from RNAcentral.
UGGGGAAUAUUGCACAAUGGGCGCAAGCCUGAUGCAGCCAUGCCGCGUGUGUGAAGAAGGCCUUCGGGUUGUAAAGCACUUUCAGCGGGGAGGAAGGCGUUAAGGUUAAUAACCUUGGCGAUUGACGUUACCCGCAGAAGAAGCACCGGCUAACUCCGUGCCAGCAGCCGCGGUAAUACGGAGGGUGCAAGCGUUAAUCGGAAUUACUGGGCGUAAAGCGCACGCAGGCGGUUUGUUAAGUCAGAUGUGAAAUCCUCGGGCUCAACCUGGGAACUGCAUCUGAUACUGGCAAGCUUGAGUCUCGUAGAGGGGGGUAGAAUUCCAGGUGUAGCGGUGAAAUGCGUAGAGAUCUGGAGGAAUACCGGUGGCGAAGGCGGCCCCCUGGACAAAGACUGACGCUCAGGUGCGAAAGCGUGGGGAGCAAACAGG